AUCAGCUGUGACAGUUUCACUUCUAGUGCCAAGUGCCUUUGAUGAUCAAGUGCUUUCAACAAUACACAAAACACAUUUUCGAUUUCGAUCUUGCAGGCAUUUCGGCCAAACAGCUAAACGGCUAAACGCAGACAAGUGCAUACACAUACAUAUGCACACAUAUGUAUGUGUGUAUUUAUAAAAUAGAAUUUCAAGGCAUACUCUUACGCGCGCGAGUGUCAAUGACAGACCUUUAACAAUGUCGGCAACGCGUGACGAUUUUUCGCUACUCAUGCACUUAAUAUAGUAUUUUCUGUAGUACAGCGUGCAGUUGUUUUACACUUCACCAAGUGAUUUAGUUAUUUAAUGUUGCUGCGGAAGUGGUGCGAAUAUUCAGUUUAUGCGAAAUAAAUGUUAAUUUUACAUGAGUCGCUCAAAACAAUUUAUGUGACAUGUGAAAAAGUUAUAAAUUUCUGUUUACCGUGAAAUAAAGACGAGUUUAAUUGCAUAAUACGAAAAUAUUUAAAUACAAUUAAGACAAAAUUUGCAAAAAUGUCUUCGAUGAUUGUUCGCGUGUGGAAUAGUAAUGAAUAAACAACAAGAAUUACAAAAAGAAAUCAUAAAAUAAAUUAUAAUAAAUGAAAGCGCACCGUUAGUGUAGAGUUGUAGAGAUUCGAAAGCGUUGACUAUCUAUCCAAGCUAUUUAUCCAUCUGUCUGAAAAUAAAAAAGAAAAAUUCGAUUUAUGUAUAACUACCUAUCUCAACAACAUAGCUCGUCACUACAAUCACACCACCCAACUGUGCAGUGCUUUUAAAACUGAAAACUUGUCCAUAAACGGCAAAAUCAGCAACUCAGCAACGACAUCAACACCAAUAACAAAUCACCACUAGAACUGCUAAUGCAACGAAACGCCCGGAAAUAGGCCGACCCUUUCCGGUAAUUAGUUUCAAUUGCAAUAGUAAACAUACGCCACGAAACGACACGCACCUGCCGGUAACACACAUACAAGCACACAACUAUAGCACAAUACAGCAAUACACAAACUACUACACAUAAAUUUGAACUAAAGCACUCAAAAUGAAUUUGAUGUUUCGUAAGCAUUUUCGCGAAGGUGGAGGUGGAAAGUCGGGUGGCGGCGGUAGUAAGCUGCAACCGAAGGCCAAUCGUACGAAACGAUCACGCGACAUGGGCGCUCAACAGGAGGAUAUCCAUUAUCGGACACAUUUAUUUUUUGCACCCAGUCGUCCCGGAGUGGAGGUGGGGGAAGAACUCAUUGCAGAAAGGUGCACUGCCUUUUCGGGUGCGUGCACACAGUUAUCGACCACCACAACAUCACUUUCACUUCCACCUCAGCCCUAUGAAGUGGAGGCACCGCAGCCCCUUGUCGAUCGCAAGCCGUCCAUAUCUCUAUUAAGAUGGAACAAUAGUGUUAGAGUACGGAAUGGUCAGGUUGCCACGGUGCUAUCGAAUGCAGCAGCAACAACAACGGCCCGCUUUCAAGCUGCCAGGCAAGUGAGUUUUGGUGGCGACAAUGCUGCUGGCACAUCGGGCGCAAUCCGUUCCGAACCGAUUUCGUUGUCAGCGUUGGAUCGUGAUUGUUUCAUUAUACCAGUGCACAGUGUCGAUCGUUUUCUGCCAGCGGGUAUACCGUUGCCCGCCCCAUCUUCCGAUGGUAAAACCAAUAGUCCUCUUAGCAUACUCGAGGUCUCUGAUCCCAAAUUAUGUAUACUCGUGCAUCUAAUGAGCCCUUUGGAACCCAUUGAUCCAAUGCUCGAGUCACCAUUGUCACACCCAUUGCUGAAGCAACGCGCUGUGGCAGCGGAGCUCGUAUCGGAGGUGCAGCAGGCGAAUACGGCGGUCGGUGGCAUGCUCUUGGCCAAUAUGGAGAAGAACGCGGACUUUCCAUUCAUCUCUUACUAUUUAAUCAACACUACGCAAACGGAUCCAUCGCACUUUUACUCAGGCAUACGCGUCUCAUCACUAUCGAAAUUCGAGCCGAAAGCACUAAAAUAUACUGCCGCUCAUACUCUGGAUCUGUACAGCGAAGUAGCUGCCAUAUGCCGUCCACCGUUGGUGUUGGCGCCCAAUGAAAGUGGUGGCUUCAAGAAGACACAAACGCCAGCAACAGGCUAUAUAAUCAGCGUGUUUAAGGUUUUCGAAGGUGAUGAUGGUGAACGGUUCGAGAAGAAUUGGCUGUACUGGACGGGGGCACGAAUGUUGUAUCGAUAUUUGCCACGUGCUGCUGGCCUACGUCGCAUUGCACUGCAUAAAAGCACUUCACAAAGAGGUGAUAAAAUGUAUUUGUUGGUAUGCGAAUGUGCUGACUUGCUCAAGGAUAUCUCUUCAGCUGCCUUUUUGAUUCCUGCAUUGCGAGCGCGCCUCUGCGGCUAUACAGGACUUUACAAGCCAAUACAAGUGUUCUAAGGAUAAGCAUAAAAAGCAACAUCAACAAAAAUAGCAACCAACCGAGUAUAGCGGCUAGAAAACUGAGGCACAAAACUAAUGGAUUAUGUAAUGGACUUAUGUAGUAUGUAAUGUAAUAAAACUCGAGGAAGUAACAAAAAAAGUGAAAAUCGCGAUUUGCAUAAUUUUUACCCUAUUAUUUAAUGCAACAUCGCCUAGAAUCUCUAAUCUGACCUAUGGCAAUCAAUUCAAUUCAUUUAAAAAAACUGAAUUCAUACGAAAUAUUACAAUUAAAAGCUGUGAUAACUCAGCCGCCUCAGAGGGGAGAAAUACUACAUAAAUAAUCAAUCGUAUCUAAUACUUAAGUAAAUAUGUAAAAAGAAAAUAAUUAAACUUAAUUUCAUACAUUUACUGCCACUGAAGGAUAGUUUACUGAAAGUUUGUUAAUGAAUGAAAUUGGCCUGAAUAAUGGUGCUCUUAAAUCUACGAUACACCCUAUACAUGCAUGCAUGGUAUGACAUGUUCAUACAGCUAAAAAAUACUUCGAUAUUAGAAUAAUGUAAACAAAUAAAAAUAUUAGUGUGAAAGAAAUAAAAGAUUAAGAAAUUAAAACAAAAAGAGAGCAGCAAUUUCCCAAACGUUGUCAUUAGGGCGAGUUUACAAAGACCGUCAAUUAAUCGAUGGCCAUUAGCAAAAUUGUUACGCAUUCGCGCUCGAUUGCCAACCCACUCACUGUUUGGCACUGAUUCCCAAAUUUACACCUUAUCUGCAUGCAAACUCGUCUUAAAAUUAAUAUAGAAUUUUUAAUUAGUUUUUAAAAAUUAUUAGUAAAAGUUUAUGAAGAGUUUUGGGUUAUCGAUCAUCAUCAGCAAAUAUUAUAUAGUAAAGUAAUUUGAGUAAAACAUUUGAAUUAUUAAUCAUUAUUAAUUCCUAGAGUUCCAAGUUGGAAAAUAGGGCCACGAAAUAUGAAUGGACAUUAAGAAUGUGAACCGUGAGCAUAACUAAAUAUCGCCAGAAACUAUACCAAUAUAAAAAAUAAAAUAAAUAAUCCGCAAGGUGCAAAUACCUAUUGAGGCAAACUAUUUUUUUUUUCUUUAUAGAAUUAAGGCACUGCGAAGAAGAAUAGCUGGACAAUUUCUUGUUGAAUUGAUUAAUAAAUUAGUAGAGGGAAAAAGGCAAUGAGUGUUGCUCACAACCGUUUCGUGACUGUUUUGUUCGGGUUUGACUGUUUUCUUUGAAGCUUUACAGCAAGAAUAGUUGAUCAGUAAAUGAUUUUAAGACUUGAUGCAGAGAGACUCGGUUGAAAAUUUUUUGCUAUAGAUACGAAUAAAUUAAUUUGGCAAAAACAGAAAUUAUUUUAAUUACUUUCGUGUAAUAAAUCUACAAUUUAGAUAAAUAAAUAAAGAAGUGAACCAGUAAAGGAAUUAACAAAAAUUAGAAGAGAGUUAGUUUUCACAACAAAGGAUUAAAUGAAGACUCUCGGAAUGGCUUCUUUGUCGUAGAAAUAAAUUUUGAUUCCCUUAACAAUUGAAAAUUAAAAAAAUUAGUGGUUAUAAAGAAAUAAUACUUUCAAUAAACAAAAAAUAUUAAUAAUUGCGAAAAUACAGAAUAAGUAAAAACAAAAACAAAAAAAAAAUGCUGUGAUAAACAAACCAAAAAUCAAUUACGCAAUAUAUGCGGGCACAAGUGCUAUACUCAGAGAAAAACCAUUAAGCUGCAAUUUCAAAUUAAGCAAAGUAUAUUUAAACUAAGGCGAUCAAUAGAAAACUACAAAUUUAAACAAUUUUAAAAUUUAAACUUAAAAAUUAUAAAAUAUUAAUAAAAUAAAGCGCUAAGUUUUAUAAUAAAAAUCUGAAGGCGGAUAAAAUGCAAUAUAUUGAAAAAGCUAGAAAAGUAGCAUACACUUACAAAUUAAAUACAAUUUUCUAAAAAAAAUCAGUUAUGAGAAAAUACAAUCAAUAAGACAACAAAGCUAGAAAUAAAAAAUAGCUGCUGCAUACUUUUUUGAAUCAAAUUAAAAAAUGCUCAAAAACUGUAGGUAUUAAAGCAGUAUGUGACUAUUUCACAUUUCACCAUACAUUUUUAUUAGUAACUUUAAAGUAAGCUUUUUUUUAAUUUAGUGUGCCCGAAAUUGACUUUAAAGCAAUGCUCCAUUGGACUUUUCUUCUAAGAGCUCUAUGUAGAAUCCGCGUCUGCUAGGAACGAUGUCGAGAGAAACCGUUUCAUACAAAUUGAGAUACCCUAAUGCACAUCUGUUUGUAAGUUUACAAGUCUAUUACGUAAUUAUUUGUUUAAAAAAUGUAAGUAGACUCUUAUUAAAACUUGCAGUAAUAUUCUUUUAUCAUAAAAGUUUUUUCCUAAAUUGGCAUUGUUUGAUAGUGGCUAAUCCAAUUGGCCCAAAGUAACAAAAAUAAUUUAAUUAACGCUCUUUAUUUUAACUAAGAAAAAGCGUUGAUGUCCGGUGCCAAUCGAGACUACUCCCAAACUCCUUACGAUGAUCCCUUCCUUGACCCGGGGUGAAGGGCAAAUCACGCAAAAAUUAUAGGAGGUGGCGUACCCUAUUGUUGGCAAUGCAGAUGUACUAAAAGCUGCGCACAUGGCAAUGACGAUGAGCGAAGUGAUAAUAGCGAAAACUACAAAUAAGCGAAAAGCGAACAAGCGAUAAGAAAAAUGUGAGCGACAAGCAAGACAGGGAGGAUUUUCGAAAUGGUGACAAAACAAAUGAAAGGGAGUAGGGUGAAAACGUAGAAUAAUAAUCCAGAAAUAUAGAACCUAAUCUUAAUAUAAUCUUAAAAACUGGAAAUUAGGUUUGGCUUAGAAAAAAAAAAAUGUAAUAAUAAUUAAAAUGUUGUAAUUUUUUUGAAUCAUUAGUUAUAUUUAAUUAGUUAAUGAACGGAUACAUUUUAUUAAAAGUAUGAUUUAAAAUUGCGCAAAAGUUUUUUUUACCAAGCUCAAGUCAUAAAAGUGCAAACCUGUGUACAUGAAAAGAUGGUGAAAAGAUUUUUAAAGAUGUACUAUCAGCAGCCCGUUAUUCGGCUAUGAGCGAAUUUGACAGAUAUGCCAACGUCACUCGUUUUGUGUUUCACUAAGCUAAAGCUAAGUUUUGUGAAACACAAAACGAAUGACGUAGAAUACAAAGUUCCAAAAAAAUUUUUUUUUCACCAUACCUAACGAGCAAACCUGGUAUCUAUCACCCUUGCAUAUAAACCUUAAACUAAAAGUUUUGAUUAAUUUUAAUUAAUUUAAAAAUCUCAAGUAGUUUCAUACUGAAAAUUGCAGUAGCAAUAAAAAUUUAUGCACGCAAUUUUUUAACAAGGAAGAAGCAGCAUAUACAUAUACAGUUUGUCAAGGAAGUGUUUUGACAUCUACUAAUUAGUGAAAUUCGGACAUAUUGUCAUGGGUAUCCUUCAAUAUUUGGUUUUAUUUGACUAAUAUAAAUAAUUUAUAAGUCAAUAGCAGAAAAAUACAGUUAUUUCUUUUAAAAAUAACACAAAAAUUAAAAACAAAAACCUAGAGAGCUGUGUUAGAAAUCUUUUUACAUUUGCAGUAAAUAGCUUUGAGUUAUAUUUAUAUGUUUUAAAAAAUGAAAUAUGAAUCAGUACUUUGUAUAGGUUAGUCAUAGAAGCAUGUAUCUUCUUAUAGGAUGUAUCAAAUUUCGAACAUCAUAGUUUUGGGGUAACAUCGCUCUAAAAUAACGUUUUGAGCUCUGCUGGACCUUUGGAGUGUCUUUUUGCAACUUUUUUCUUUAAAUAUGCUCAUAAACUUUGUAUUGAAUUAAUAUCCGUGCUUUGAACUGGUGCAUCCAAUACUUUUUUUCCUUUUUCACUACUCUCGGGAGCAUAGGGCCUCGACAAGAUUAAGUCUUGCGUUGGUUUCGUUAAUCUAUUUUGAUUUCUGACGGGGUAGGUGAUUAGCCUGCCGCUAUCAGUCCUAAAUAGUGGGAAUGCACACCUGUCGUUGCUUAGGAACAACGCCUUCUUACUGCUUUGGAGCGCCAUCUGUGUUUCAUAUUUUUCUCCCAGAAGGAUCGCACAGAUGUUUGAGAACUUCGCUAAAUUUGGUGCGAAUACGCUAUUUCCGCGGUUGCUCGCUUCCUCUUGCUGGCCCCACUGAUGCAAUGUGUAACUAUGUGUUGUUUUCUUUGUGUUUGCUUACUACAAUCCUUUACUGACAUAAAAAGAAACCACAUUCUGACCAUAAGAUCCAUAAGUUUUUGAUCGUUGACCUAGUAGAAUUUAAACUGGGACUUGUUGUCAACAAUAAAGUCAAAUUUUGUUGUACUGUUUGUAUUGUCAUGCAUCCAUUUUAACUUCUAAAGAGUGAACAAUUUAGAGAUAUCGGAUUUUGAAUUGAAAUAAAACAAAGAAAAUUCAAAUUUAUUGGACAAUCUUUUUUAUUAUUUUUGUGUAGAACCAUUCAUGACAUUUAAAUUUUAAUAUUCAAAUGUUGGCCGCAACUGCACCGUAAUUCGGCCAUCCCUAAAAAAUCCAAAUUUGAAUGACUCGCUGGAGGACUUUGGUCAGUAUCUCGUGAGUAAAAAUAGUAAUGUUGACUCUCUUGCUGGAUAUGCCUGCCUACACCAUUACUGAAAGUUUGCCAUAUUUCACUAUGGGUGUAAUAUUCCGCCUUUUCAGUGUUUGUAUUGGCUGCCUCCACCUUCUGUUGAGUCCAUUGUUGUAUUAAAGUAUGAUUUUAGUCUCAUCGCAGAAUAUCACAUCGUUCCAGUUGUUAUCUGGUUGAGCUAUGUAGGUACAUUCUAGCGAAAGAUAACCGCUUUUCAAUGAGCUGCUCAGAGAGCAAAAACCUCUUUCGAGCAACUCUUCAAUUAUAUUUGUACUUUGGCAAAACUUGGCGGACUGUUUCACGAAAACGUCGGCCCUACACUCGUCUUUAAGCUCACUAGCAAGAUUUCUUGUCGAUUCCUGCGCGAGUGCGGCAACUUUACUCAGCAGAAAACGUUCGGCGCGGUCGGAUAUUUGAUGUUCUCCACUUGCAGAUUUUGUCUGCAACCUAUUUUCAUUUUUUGCACGAUUAAUUAUGUCAAAAAUAGUUAGCUGGGUUAAAUAAAACAUUUCUGACACCUAUUGCUGUUUGUGUAUAUUUAUUAUAGGUAUGUAUAUUUUUUGUAAUUCACGCACGAUUUGAUAUUUUGAUUAAAAAUUUACUCAAACGUUUACUUUAUGUCUGAUUGAUGACUAACGCGUGGGCAGCAACUUAGGGAAAUAACGGUACAUCAAAUCAUCUUUGCAAACGAUGCCAGAAAUAUAUUACUUUGACUAAUGGUAAUGCUAAUGGAGCCAAGAAUUCUGUGUCUCCUGUAGCCUAAUGCCUCACAGUUGGUGAUUAAGUGUUCCAUAGACUCCUCUUCAUCACAGCAGAAACCGCAUAAUCUUGUAGUAGGUAAUCCUAUUGUGUUAAAGUGACCUGCAAGUGCUCCACAGAGUAAUCUUAGGCCCUUUUUAUCUACAGCUAGAGCAGAUUUUGCUCUGUUGGCAUUGAAGUUCAAAAACAUUUUGGAGUGAUUAAGGCCGCUUGUGCCGUUCCAGUGUUCCCUGAUUUUAUAAUAGUUUUGAUACAUUUUUUGGUUUCCUGUAUUAUAUAAUUUUUGUUAAAGCCGAAAAAUGGGGUUGGUCCAAUUAAUAGCCUUUCUGCCCCUUUUUUGGCAUAAAAGUCUGCCUUCUCGUUUCCUUCGUGUCUCUCAUGCCCUGGUACCCAAAUCAGUGAGACCUGAUUAUGAGUGGCCAGUUUGUUGAGUGCACUGUUACACUCUAUAAGGACUUUUGACUUGAAUGUGAAGCUAUUCAAGGCUUUGAGAACCGAUUGGCUCUCCGAAAGUAUGUUAAUUUUUACUUUCUCAAAUCCUCUUUUGGAUAUGAUUUCCACUGUUUCCGUUAUGGCGAAGAGCUCCGCAUGGAAAAUUGUGGUAUCUGUAUUUAGUGUUAGAGAUUUGUGUGCUCUAGGCCCUACUAUUCCUGCACCCACUCCUUGGAGCGUUUUGGAACCAUCUGUGUACCAUUUUUGUGAGUCAUCAUUUAUUCAUGGUGGGUUAGUGUUCCACUCUUCUCUAUACGGGAGGAUAACCUUGUAUCUCUUUAUAAAAUUGAGUACGGGUUCCGUGUGGUCAUUCGCCUGGGUUAUGCAUAGUGCAUGUUGAACCCUGCUCAAGUUAUUGAUGUGUACAGUAAGAUGUCCUGGUUUAAGUUUAGGUGUCCUGGUUUUAAAGAGAAUGCAUGCAUAGUAGCUUCCUCUUGUAUUGCGAAAUAUAGCGGUGGUAAAUUUAAAACCGCUUCAAUGUCAGCAGUUGGUGUAGUUCUCAGGGUCCCUGUUUUGCUUAGGCAUGUCAGCCUUUGUAGUUUACACAGUUUUGAUAUAGCAGUAGUUUGAUUGGUUUUAACCCACCAUACCAAAGCCCCAUAUAGUACAAUAGAUCUUACCAUUUUGAUGUAGAUCCAGAAGGUCAUUUUAGCGUUCGAACCUCAGGAUUUUCCCAAGAGUUGUUGUGUUGACAAAAGGUUUUUCGUUGUCUUUUAUUAUUCUAUUAAUGAGUUGAGGUGGACCUCCCAAGUGAGUUUUUUAUCCAAAAUAAUUCUUAGAUAUUUAACCGCUUCCUUUAGAGGUACCUCUAUUUCAUUUAUUCCCAAGAUGGGCAUAUUUAGAACCCUUUUUCUGGUAAAUGGAGUAAUAGUGGUUUUGGAAGGGUUGAUUGAUAAUCGCUCUUUUCUACACCAAUCCCAGGUUAUAUUUAAGGCAUCCUGCAUUAAGUCCUUAAUGGUCCUUUCGUGGUUGCCUCUAAUUAUUGCAGAAAUGUCAUCUGCUUACCCUAUUGUUUUAUACCCUUUAUUGUUAGGGGCUAGUACCAAAUCGUCAGCCAGGUUAGACCAGAGCAAUGGCGAUACUAAGUACGUUAAUGAAAUAAUUUUGAAAAGCUCUCCAAGUUCAAUAAGAAGUGUUGGCCUGAGUUAAAAAAGUGCAAAUAACUUGAGAAUUUUAGUAUAUCAAAACACUUUCUUGAUAAACUGUAAAAAGGUGAUAACAAUACACCCAAAAAAAAAAAUUAAAAUGCUUGCCUAAUUUCUAUCGUUAGAAGCAAAAUCAAAUCCAUACCAAUUAAAAAAAUAUAGCAAUAAUAUUGCCGCCUGUCCAGUAAUCUGCUUGCCACCACUGUACCGCACCGCCUAUCCAAAUUAAGUCAGUCACAUGCGAUUUCUAAAAAACGGUAAAUGCACUUUUCCUACUUCUGAGCAACUCUGCAUUGUAACUAACGUCAAACAAAACGAUUAAUGGCGAUAUCAAAUAAAUAGCGUAUCAAAUAAGUCAAAUCUACUACUUAGUAUGUAUUUAGUAGUAAUCAAGUACUUUCUUUUAUUAGCUAUAGAACCAUAAAAAAGUGAAUUAACAAAACCAUUAGCUAAAAACUAUGAUUGAAAAAUAAAUUUUAAGCAAAAUAA
Molecule: RNA transcript, 9831 nt
Organism: Anastrepha ludens (Mexican fruit fly)
Lineage: Eukaryota; Metazoa; Arthropoda; Insecta; Diptera; Tephritidae
Exons: 10
Source: RefSeq, a predicted model, not a curated record